CCUUCAUCCUGCGCUCUCUCAAAGCAAGCAAGCCAGAUUCGGUGCAUAUUGCUUUGAUGUCAGCACCAGAAAACUCAUCCUUAGUCAUGACGAACUCUUCCAGGUUCACAUCAUCUGACAAUGUCAUCUUUGCCGUGUGUAUCUGCAAGAUUUAUGAUGCUCACGAGGACCAAACAAGAUAACAUGCUGUAAUGUUAAGAUCAACAUAUAGACUAAUUAAAAAGGUACCUGGAAGAUGCGCCGCCUAGUCUUAAUGUCUGGAAGAGGGAAUUCUAUCUUUCGGUCUAUUCUGCCAGGGCGAAGCAAGGCUGGAUCAAGACUUUCAAUGCGAUUUGUAGCUAGAAUAACUUUAACAUCUCCACGCGAGUCAAAACCAUCUAGCUGGUUCAGCAGCUCCAACAUAGUUCUCUGAAUCUCACGCUCCCCUCCUGAAUGAGCGUCAUACCUCUUUGUUCCAACUGCAUCGAUCUCAUCGAUGAAGACUAUUGAGGGGGAAAGCUCAUCCGCAACUCUAAAUAGUUCUCUAACUAGUUUUGGACCGUCGCCAAGGUACUUCUGAAUAAGUUCACUUCCAACAACACGUAAGAAAGUUGCAGAUGUGGAGUUAGCAACAGCCUGCAAUAACAAUUUCAAGUAACCAUAGGUCAUACAUCAGCACUCAAUUAAAUGUUAUUUGAAAGUAUAUAAUGCAAAAUAAAGCAACAAUUCAGACAAAUAUUAAAGCCUGGAAUGAAUUAAGGAGGACUGAAGCCUAAAAUUCUCCUCGAAGAAAUAUAAGCAAUAGAUGUCCAGUGCAAAGGCCAGAAGACUGACCUUGGCAAGUAGAGUUUUCCCCGUUCCAGGUUCUCCAUAUAAUAUGACCCCCUUGGGUGGCCUUAUUCCAAUGUCUUCAUAUAGCUCAGGGUGGGUCAGCGGAAGCUCAACCGCCUCUUUUAUUUCUUGAAUCUGAGCAUCUAACCCACCAAUGUCCGCAUAUGAUUCCAGCGG
This 987-nucleotide long non-coding RNA is filed under the name Hordeum vulgare. Its description in RNAcentral is "long non-coding RNA (HVUL_LNC002776)". The record is from RNAcentral. Lineage: Eukaryota; Viridiplantae; Streptophyta; Magnoliopsida; Poales; Poaceae.